ACGAAUUUCUAUGUUGUGAUGAAGUCCUUAGGACUAUUUUGAUCGAUAAAGAAAGAUUUAUCACGUAAUCCUUAAAUUGGUUCGCGACCAUACGAUAUGCGAUUACUAAGAUGAUAGAGACAACAAGUAUAGGUCGUUGUGUGCCAUAUACGUUAGUUAUCCUCAUAACCAAAUAGUGUGGAGAUAUUGGUAUGACAUGCAGGUGAGAUAUAAGAGUAUAUUGUCACUGAACAUGACCAACUGCAGAGUACUCUACUGUC
Molecule: long non-coding RNA, 260 nt
Filed under: Elaeis guineensis (African oil palm)
Lineage: Eukaryota; Viridiplantae; Streptophyta; Magnoliopsida; Arecales; Arecaceae
Description: long non-coding RNA (EGUI_LNC040945)
Source: RNAcentral